UGUUAAAAAUUUCAUUCAUUUGUAUUAUUAAAAACUAACAUGGCUAAUGAAUAACCAAACAGACAUGUGACAUGCCACAUGUACCUCAUGUUGAUGUACAUGGACUAGUUUUUAAUAGUAGAAAUAGAUAGAAUUUUUAAUA
This is a non-coding RNA of Gossypium raimondii (Peruvian cotton), 142 nucleotides long. The record is from Rfam. NCBI's taxonomy places the organism in Eukaryota, Viridiplantae, Streptophyta, Magnoliopsida, Malvales, Malvaceae.